Molecule: transfer RNA, 65 nt
Filed under: Loxodonta africana (African savanna elephant)
Lineage: Eukaryota; Metazoa; Chordata; Mammalia; Proboscidea; Elephantidae
Rfam family: tRNA
About the family: Transfer RNA (tRNA) molecules are approximately 80 nucleotides in length. Their secondary structure includes four short double-helical elements and three loops (D, anti-codon, and T loops). Further hydrogen bonds mediate the characteristic L-shaped molecular structure. tRNAs have two regions of fundamental functional importance: the anti-codon, which is responsible for specific mRNA codon recognition, and the 3' end, to which the tRNAs corresponding amino acid is attached (by aminoacyl-tRNA synthetases). tRNAs cope with the degeneracy of the genetic code in two manners: having more than one tRNA (with a specific anti-codon) for a particular amino acid; and 'wobble' base-pairing, i.e. permitting non-standard base-pairing at the 3rd anti-codon position.
Source: Rfam by way of RNAcentral
GGCACCGUGGUUAAAGCGGUUGGCUGCUAACCAAAAGGUUGGUGGUUCGAAUCCAUCAGCUGCUC